RNAcentral lists this ribosomal RNA (846 nucleotides) under Pseudoastrosphaeriella aquatica. RNAcentral describes it as "Pseudoastrosphaeriella sp. WD-2020a partial large subunit ribosomal RNA". It matches the Rfam family "Eukaryotic large subunit ribosomal RNA", at positions 88 to 947 of the family's 3401-position model. Lineage: Eukaryota; Fungi; Ascomycota; Dothideomycetes; Pleosporales; Pseudoastrosphaeriellaceae. The record is from RNAcentral.
GGCGAGUGAAGCGGCAACAGCUCAAAUUUGAAAUCUGGCCCCCUCUUAGGGGGUCCGAGUUGUAAUUUGUAGAGGGUGCUUUGGCGUUGGCCCCGGCCCAAGUUCCUUAGAACAGGACGUCACAGAGGGUGAGAACCCCGUACAUGGCCGUUGGUCUUCGCCUUGUAAAGCCCCUUCGACGAGUCGAGUUGUUUGGGAAUGCAGCUCUAAAUGGGAGGUAAAUUUCUUCUAAGGCUAAAUACCGGCUGGAGACCGAUAGCGCACAAGUAGAGUGAUCGAAAGAUGAAAAGCACUUUGGAAAGAGAGUGAAAAAGCACGUGAAAUUGUUGAAAGGGAAGCGCUUGCAGCCAGACUCGCCCGUGGUUGCUCAUCCGAGCUCCUGCUCGGUGCACUCUUCCGCGGGCGGGCCAGCAUCGGUUUGAGCGGUCGGACAAAGGUCCCGGGAAUGUGGCUCCCCUCGGGGAGUGUUAUAGCCCGGGGCGUCAUGCGGCCAGCUUGGACCGAGGCCCGCGCAUUUUGCUAGGAUGCUGGCGUAAUGGCUGUAAGCGGCCCGUCUUGAAACACGGACCAAGGAGUCUAACAUCUGUGCGAGUGUUUGGGUGUCAAGCCCCGACGCGCAAUAAAAGUGAACGGAGGUGGGACCCCUUCGGGGCGCACCAUCGACCGAUCCUGAUGUCUUCGGAUGGAUUUGAGUAAGAGCAUAGCUGUUGGGACCCGAAAGAUGGUGAACUAUGCCUGAAUAGGGUGAAGCCAGAGGAAACUCUGGUGGAGGCUCGCAGCGGUUCUGACGUGCAAAUCGAUCGUCAAAUUUGGGCAUAGGGGCGAAAGACUAAUCGAACUAUCUAG